CAGCCGUAAACUAUGCGCGUUAGGUGUAUCGGUGACCACGAGUUACCGAGGUGCCGAAGGGAAACCGUGAAACGUGCCGCCUGGGAAGUACGGUCGCAAGGCUGAAACUUAAAGGAAUUGGCGGGGGAGCACCACAACAGGUGGAGCCUGCGGUUUAAUUGGACUCAACGCCGGGAAGCUCACCGGAUAAGACAGCGGAAUGAUUGCCGGGCUGAAGACUCUGCAUGACUAGCUGAGAGGAGGUGCAUGGCGUAGACGUCU
RNAcentral lists this ribosomal RNA (261 nucleotides) under uncultured archaeon. RNAcentral describes it as "partial 16S ribosomal RNA". It matches the Rfam family "Archaeal small subunit ribosomal RNA", at positions 748 to 1009 of the family's 1478-position model. The record is from RNAcentral.